UUUCCGUAGGUGAACCUGCGGAAGGAUCAUUAUUGUAUAACCGAGGUGCGCGGGCUGUCGCUGACCCGAAAGGUCGUGCACGCCCGAGUACCCUCACACACAUCCAUCUCACCCCUAUGUGCACCACCGCGUGGGUCCCCCUUUGGCUUGUUCGGAGGGGGGCUUACGUUUUCACACAAACUCUGUAUGCAGUGUAGAAUGUAUUUUUUGUUUUUGCGAUCACGCAAUCAAUACAACUUUCAACAACGGAUCUCUUGGCUCUC
Molecule: unclassified non-coding RNA, 263 nt
Filed under: plant metagenome
Description: partial contains small subunit ribosomal RNA, internal transcribed spacer 1, and 5.8S ribosomal RNA
Source: RNAcentral